This 1475-nucleotide ribosomal RNA is filed under the name Candidatus Pelagibacter sp. RNAcentral's name for it is "bacterial SSU rRNA". It matches the Rfam family "Bacterial small subunit ribosomal RNA". Lineage: Bacteria; Pseudomonadati; Pseudomonadota; Alphaproteobacteria; Candidatus Pelagibacterales; Candidatus Pelagibacteraceae. The record is from RNAcentral.
AAACUUGAGAGUUUGAUCAUGGCUCAGAACGUACGCUGGCGGCACGCCUAACACAUGCAAGUCGAACGAAGUAGCAAUACUUAGUGGCAGACGGGUGAGUAACAUGUAGGUAUCUUCCCUUUGGCCUGGAAUAACACGAGGAAACUUGUGCUAAUACCGGAUAAGUCUUUACAGAGAAAGCUUUAUGCACCAUUGGAUGAGCCUGCACUUGAUUAGUUUGUUGGUAGGGUAAUGGCCUACCAAGACUGUGAUCAAUAGCUGAUUUGAGAGGAUGAUCAGCCACAUUGGGACUGAGACACGGCCCAAACUCCUACGGGAGGCAGCAGUGGGGAAUCUUGCACAAUGGAGGAAACUCUGAUGCAGCGAUGCCGCGUGAGUGAAGAAGGCCUUUGGGUUGUAAAGCUCUUUCGUCGGGGAAGAAAAUGACUGUACCCGAAUAAGAAGGUCCGGCUAACUUCGUGCCAGCAGCCGCGGUAAUACGAAGGGACCUAGCGUAGUUCGGAAUUACUGGGCUUAAAGAGUUCGUAGGUGGUUGAAAAAGUUGGUGGUGAAAUCCCAGAGCUUAACUCUGGAACUGCCAUCAAAACUUUUCAGCUAGAGUUUGAUAGAGGAAAGCAGAAUUUCUAGUGUAGAGGUGAAAUUCGUAGAUAUUAGAAAGAAUACCAAUUGCGAAGGCAGCUUUCUGGAUCAUUACUGACACUGAGGAACGAAAGCAUGGGUAGCGAAGAGGAUUAGAUACCCUCGUAGUCCAUGCCGUAAACGAUGUGUGUUAGACGUUGGAAAUUUAUUUUCAGUGUCGCAGCGAAAGCGAUAAACACACCGCCUGGGGAGUACGACCGCAAGGUUAAAACUCAAAUGAAUUGACGGGGACCCGCACAAGUAGUGGAGCAUGUGGUUUAAUUCGAAGAUACGCGCAGAACCUUACCAACACUUGACAUGUUCGUCGCGACUUUAAGAGAUUAAAGUUUUCGGUUCGGCCGGACGAAACACAGGUGCUGCAUGGCUGUCGUCAGCUCGUGUCGUGAGAUGUUGGGUUAAGUCCCGCAACGAGCGCAACCCUCACUUUUAGUUGCCAUCAUUUAGUUGGGCACUCUGAAAGAACUGCCAGUGAUAAGCUGGAGGAAGGUGGGGAUGACGUCAAGUCCUCAUGGCCCUUACGUGUUGGGCUACACACGUGCUACAAUGGUAUCUACAACAGGAAGCAAGACGGCGACGUUAAGCAAAUCCCUAAAAGAUACCUCAGUUCGGAUUGCACUCUGCAACUCGAGUGCAUGAAGCUGGAAUUACUAGUAAUCGUGGAUCAGCGUGCCACGGUGAAUGCGUUCCCGGGUCUUGUACACACCGCCCGUCACACCAUGGGAGUUGGUUCUACCUUAAGGCAAGGUUUUAAACCCUUGACCACGGUAUAGUCAGCGACUGGGGUGAAGUCGUAACAAGGUAGCCGUAGGGGAACCUGCGGCUGGAUUACCUCCUUU